This 460-nucleotide ribosomal RNA is filed under the name uncultured bacterium. RNAcentral describes it as "partial 16S ribosomal RNA". It matches the Rfam family "Bacterial small subunit ribosomal RNA", at positions 338 to 795 of the family's 1533-position model. The record is from RNAcentral.
CCUACGGGAGGCAGCAGUGAGGAAUAUUGGUCAAUGGGCGGAAGCCUGAACCAGCCAAGUCGCGUGAGGGAAUAAGGCCCUACGGGUCGUAAACCUCUUUUGCCGGGGAGCAAGGGCGGGGACGUGUCCCGGGCCGGAGAGUAACCGGAGAAAAAGCAUCGGCUAACUCCGUGCCAGCAGCCGCGGUAAUACUGAGGAUGCGAGCGUGAUCCGGAUUUAUGGGGUUUCAAGGGUGCGUAGGCGGGCUUUUAUGUCAGCGGUAAAAAUUCGGGGCUCAACCCCGUCCGGCCGUUGAAACUGGGGGCCUUGAGGGGGCGAGAAGAAGGCGGAAUGCGUGGUGUAGCGGUGAAAUGCAUAGAGAUCACGCAGAACCCCGAUUGCGAAGGCAGCCUUCCGGCGCCCUACUGACGCUGAGGCACGAAAGUGCGGGGAGCGAACAGGAUUAGAUACCCCAGUAGUC